UAGAACUGACUCAGGCUUUGUUGUUGGGCCAGCUGCAUGUAGAUGAGAUAUUGCUUAUUCUUCGAGGGCAAUGGACUACAUAAGAACAAGGAGCAUUACUGGUAUCAGAAACUCCUCUUAUAUGGAGAAAACUGAGAUAUCAUCAUAACCAAAAGUGAUCAAGGUUAAUAUAGCCUGGAAUGUGACCCAAAUUGAAGACAUUAUGUAAAAUAACGGAUCUUUGAAAUGUUGAGUUCAUGAAAACCAAAGAAAGACUGAGGAUAUCUUACAGAUUGGACAAGACUCAGGAUUUACAACAACUACAUACAAGGUGGAAUUUUGCAUCUGAUGCUGGAACAGGAACAACUAUGUAUAUCAGUGGGAAACUUGGUGAAAUCUAAAUAAAGUCUGAAAUGUAGUUAAUAGUA
This is a long non-coding RNA of Suricata suricatta (meerkat), 407 nucleotides long. RefSeq lists it as uncharacterized. The record is from RefSeq and is a predicted model, not a curated record. Lineage: Eukaryota; Metazoa; Chordata; Mammalia; Carnivora; Herpestidae. The transcript has 3 exons.